This 260-nucleotide ribosomal RNA is filed under the name uncultured bacterium. RNAcentral's name for it is "partial 16S ribosomal RNA". The record is from RNAcentral.
CUGCUGCCUCCCGUAGGAGUUUGGGCCGUGUCUCAGUCCCAAUGUGGCCGGUCCACCCUCUCAGGCCGGCUACUGAUCGCUGCCUUGGUGGGCCGUUACCCCGCCAACUAGCUAAUCAGACGCGGAUCCAUCGUAUACCACCGGAGUUUUUCACACUGCCCCAUGCGGAGCCGUGCGCUUAUGCGGUAUUAGCACCUAUUUCUAAGUGUUAUCCCCCGGUAUACGGCAGGUUAUCCACGCGUUACUCACCCGUCCGCCAA